UGAAUACGAGAUGCUACGGCGUCGAAGCAGUGUAUGUCAGACUUCCAAGAAAAGCUCGCAAUGUCAUAAAUAAAGAAUGCCUGUACCAUAACCGACACAGGUGGGUAGGUAGAGUAUACUAAGGGGCGCGAGAUAACUCUCUCUAAGGAACUCGGCAAAAUAACUCCGUAACUUCGGGAGAAGGAGUGCCUUCUUUAAGAAGGUUGCAAUAACAAGAUCCAAGCAACUGUUUAUCAAAAACACAGGUCUCCGCUAAGUCGUAAGACGAUGUAUGGGGGCUGACGCCUGCCCAGUGCCAGAAGGUUAAAGAAGUUGGUUAGCUUUUGCGAAGCUGAUGACUGAAGCCCUGGUGAACGGCGGCCGUAACAAUAACGGUCCUAAGGUAGCGAAAUUCCUUGUCGGGUAAGUUCCGACCCGCACGAAAGGCGUAAUGAUUUGGAUACUGUCUCGGAGAGGGACUCGGUGAAAUAGACUUGUCUGUGAAGAUGCGGACUACCUGCACCAGGACAGAAAGACCCUAUGAAGCUUUACUGUAACUUGAAAUUGAAAUUGGACUUUAUUUGCGCAGUAUAGGUGGAAGGCGUUGAAAGUAAUCUUGCGGGAUUAGUGGAGCCAUCAGUGGGAUACCACUCCUAUAAUGUUAGAUUUCUAACUUUGGAUCAUGAUCUGGUCAAAGAACAGUUUCAGGCGGGCAGUUUGACUGGGGCGGUCGCCUCCCAAAUGGUAACGGAGGCGUACAAAGGUUUCCUCUGAACGGGUAGAAAUCGUAUCUAGAGUGUAAAGGCAUAAGGAAGCUUGACUGUGAGACCUACAAGUCGAGCAGGGACGAAAGUCGGUCUUAGUGAUCUGACGGUGCUGAGUGGAAAGGCCGUCACUCAACGGAUAAAAGUUACUCUAAGGAUAACAGGCUGAUCUCCCCCAAGAGUUCACAUCGACGGGGAGGUUUGGCACCUCGAUGUCGGCUCAUCGCAUCCUGGGGCGGUAGUACGUCCCAAGGGUUGGGCUGUUCGCCCAUGAAAGCGGUACGCGAGCUGGGUUCAGAACGUCGUGAGACAGUUCGGUCCAUAUCCGGUGUAGGCGUUAGAAUAUUGAGAGGAGCCUUCUUUAGUACGAGAGGACCGAGAAGGACAUACCUCUGGUGUACCAGUUAUCGUGCCAACGGUAAACGCUGGGUAGCUAUGUAUGGAGAGGAUAACCGCUGAAAGCAUCUAAGUGGGAAGCCCACCUCAAGAUGAG
This 1236-nucleotide ribosomal RNA is filed under the name metagenome. Its description in RNAcentral is "bacterial LSU rRNA". It matches the Rfam family "Bacterial large subunit ribosomal RNA", at positions 1564 to 2808 of the family's 2925-position model. The record is from RNAcentral.